Molecule: ribosomal RNA, 440 nt
Filed under: uncultured bacterium
Lineage: Bacteria
Description: partial 16S ribosomal RNA
Rfam family: Bacterial small subunit ribosomal RNA
Source: RNAcentral
CCUACGGGAGGCAGCAGUGGGGAAUAUUGCACAAUGGGCGAAACCCUGAUGCAGCAACGCCGCGUGAGUGAAGAAGUAUUUCGGUAUGUAAAGCUCUAUCAGCAGGGAAGAAAAUGCCGGUACCUGAGUAAGCAGCCCCGGCUAACUACUUGCCAGCAGCCGCGGUAAUACGUAGGGGGCAAGCGUUCUCCGGAUUUACUGGGUGGAAAGGGAGCGUAGGCGGGGAUGCAAGUCUGAAGUGAAAGCCCGGGGCUCAACCCCGGGACUGCUUUGGAAACUGUAUGGCUGGAGUGCUGGAGAGGCAAGCGGAAUUCCGAGUGUAGCGGUGAAAUGCGUAGAUAUUAGGAAGAACACCAGUGGCGAAGGCGGCUUGCUGGACAGUAACUGACGUUGAGGCUCGAAAGCGUGGGGAGCAAACAGGAUUAGAUACCCCAGUAGUC